Molecule: ribosomal RNA, 383 nt
Filed under: uncultured eukaryote
Lineage: Eukaryota
Description: partial 18S ribosomal RNA
Rfam family: Eukaryotic small subunit ribosomal RNA
Source: RNAcentral
CAAUAGCGUAUAUUAAAGUUGUUGCAGUUAAAAAGCUCGUAGUUGGAUUUCUGGUGGGAGCGAUCGGUCUGGCGCUUAGCGCGAGUACUUGCAUCGUCUCCGGCCAUCCUUGGGGAGAGUCUGUCUGGCAUUAGGUUGUCGGGCAGAGGAUCCUCAUCGUUUACUGUGAAAAAAUUAGAGUGUUCAAAGCAGGCUUAUGCCGUUGAAUAUAUUAGCAUGGAAUAAUAAGAUAGGACUUUGGUACUAUUUUGUUGGUUUGCGCACCAAAGUAAUGAUUAAUAGGGACAGUUGGGGGUAUUCGUAUUCCGUUGUCAGAGGUGAAAUUCUUGGAUUUACGGAAGACGAACUACUGCGAAAGCAUUUACCAAGGAUGUUUUCAUUAA